GCACUUUUUAAAUAUUAUUAUUGACAUCAAUGUUUGGUUAGCCAUAGAAAACAAAUACGUUUUCUUAUUUUCCAAUGACGUUCUUCCCAUGAACAAGAAGUCUUAAAUCUUAUAUAUUUUGUUUUGUUAAUAUAUUCCUUUAUGGCUACCUUUUUUGUAUCUUGUUUGUUAAAUGUUUCCAUACAUCAAAAUCAUAAAGAUAAUGGAUAUAUUUUUCUAAGAAUUUAAAAAAUAAUUGUCUUCCUUAAGAAUUUGAAUCACCUGGAAUUUAUGUUUGCAUAUGACAUAAAGAAUAACAAGAUUUUAAUUUGUUUCCAUAAGCAGAGUUACUUGCCUUAACACUAUUUAUUAAAGAGUCCAUCCUUCUCAAACUAAUGUGAAAGCCACUGCUAUUAAAUAUUACACUUCCUAUGUGUGUAAUAAGUUUUUUCAAUUUGUACUAGAGUUUGGAAAAUCUAAAUGGAUGGGCUAUGCUUAUCCGAGCCUUUUAAAGUAAUUUUGGAUACAUAAAGAGCACUUAGUUGUGGGAGUUCCUGUUGUGCCUCAGGAAUAAUAAAUCCGAAUAGUAUCCAUCAGAUUUCAGGUUCAAUCCCUGGCCCCGCUCAGCAGGUUAAAGAUCCAGCAUUGUCUUGAGCUGUGGUUUAGGUUGCAGAUGCAGCUCCGAUCUGGCAUUGCUAUGGUUGUGGCACAGGCUGGCAGCUGCAGCUCUGAUUUAACCCCUAGUCUGGGAACUUCCAUAUGCUGCAGGGGCACCCCCCCCUAAAAAAAAAAAAAAAAAAGCACUUGGUUGUAAUUAGGGAAUGGAAUAAUGGGUAGAGAGUUCAAUAGCUCUCCUUAUGAAAUUAAAGGCAUUCAGUGUUGGAAGAUGAUAAUUUGAAAAGAUAAGAACUUUGACUUGGAUCUAUAGCCAGUCUCAAGAAAAUGGGAAGAUAGGGCCAAGAGAAAAUCCCUCCAGAGGUAAGACUGAUGGGUUUUUAGAACAGUGAUGUGUGAUACUCAAUCGAAAGUUGCUGUUUGAAUUAUCUGCUCAGUUUUCAGAGCUUUCAGUAAAUGUCAGACAUAUACUACUGCAUUGGAAUUCAGGUGGUUUGUAGUGAAGAACAAAGGCACAACACAACCCAAGGGGAAAGGACACUCAUUUCAGACAGGAAGAUGCAGAGCAGAGAUGGAGAAUUCGCAAGAAGCAAGGUACUGAAUCAAGAACCGAGGAGGGUAAUAUAAACUUCUUCCUUGGGAACAGUGAGGAAAGAGGGACGGCUGAUGAAGGAUUUUUCCUCCAGUGUAGGUCUAGAUCAUUUUAUUGGGCUGUUAAAGGAAAAGUUAUAUUGUUUUCCACAACCAGCAUCUUAUCAUCCCUAUAGUUGAGAAGUUCUUACACAGAAAGCUUUGUGAGAUUUCUGUUCUUUUCUUUUGCUUUGAACUAUAAGAUUAAGUACACAUUCCUUAUCACAGUACUCAGAACAGCAUUGAAACUGGACUCUACCUCUUUCCUCUAGUCUCUUUGCUUAAGCCACAUGGAAAUACUUGCAGUGUAUUAAACAGGCCAGGCACUUUCAGAGUACCUUUUCUCUGAGGAUCUUGUUUCCUGGGCAUGGUAUGCAUAGUGGAGAAGCCAUGAUAAGAAUGGGAUAAUCAGGACAGGAUAAUGAUUACAUUAGUCAGUGCAGGACUUGUGGAUCCUCACUGACUUCCACAGUUCCCCACUCUUGGCUGUGGACAGCAGCCAUGGUGGAGGACUCAGUGUGGCUUUGGCACCUGUGACAUCACAGUCUAGGACUGAAAAGAUGCACACAUUAUAGCAUGAGCACAAGUAGAUAAGAUCUUAGAGUCAUCCAUGGGAUCAUGGCUGGUAAAAAAUAUUUCAGGCAAGAUAAGCAAGUUGACUGUUAAGGGGACAGAAAAAUCUACCUGUGAUAGGAUGAUCUGUCUUUAUCUCUAAUUUAGACCUUCUAUUAAAAACAAGAUAGAAAUAUAUUCAGCAGCUGGAAUGUCUCAUUGGAAAUUCAUCCACAGUAUUUCCUGAAGAUUAAACUGUGAGAUGUAUUUAGUGAAAGAAAAAAAUAAAUUUGUUGAUAAAAUCUAAUAAUAUCAUAAUUCUAUUUAAAAACAAAAAACAAAAAACAAAAACCUUCCAAGAGUGCUUGUCAUGGCUCAGUGGAAACAAAUCUGACUAGCAUCUAUUAGGAUACAAGUUUGGUCCCUGGCCUUGCUCUGUGGGUUAAGGAUCUGGUGUUGCCAUGAGCUGUGGUGUAGGUUGCACACGCGGCUCAGAUCCUGCAUUGCUGCGGCUAUGGUAUAGGUUGGCGGCCACAGUUCCAAUUUGACUCCUAGCCUGGGAACCUCCAUAUGCCGAGGGUGCAGCCAUAAAAAGACAAAAAAAAAAAAAAAAAACAACUUCUUAAAUUUGCACCGUUAGGGAGUUCCUGUUGUGGCCCAGAGGAAAUGAACCCGACUAGUAUUCAUGAGGAUGCGGGUUCGAGCCCUGGGUCCACUUAGUGGGUAAAGGGUCUGGCAUUGCUGUGAGCUGCAGUAUAGGUCACAGAGGAGGCAGCUUGGAUAUGGUGUUGCCGUGGCUGUGGUAUAGGCCAGCAGCUAUAGCUCUGAUUCGACCCCUCGCCUGGGAACUUACAUGUGUUGUAGGUGUGGCCCUAAAGGGGAAAAAAAAAAAAAAAAGUAAAGUAGUAGGUCAGUUACUCAAGGCUAUAAAUAAUAAGACAUUAAAAAUGCAUUUUAUAAGAUAAAUGACAGGUAUGACAAAUGGGGAACCCUGUUUUAUACAAGUAAAGAAGGAUUUAGAAUUUUGAGUACAUGAAAUGUAUAAAGUUAUGAAAAAUUAUAAAUAAAUGUAUCCAAGCAUUCUUUGGGUUUAUUUCAGGGUAACCAUUUUACCAUUCAUAAAAACUAGAAAAUGCUAAAUAUCGAGUGUAAAAUAGCCGUUAUAAUUGAUUGACAUUCAGCUUCCUUGGUAAAGUCUUUCUCUAUCCUUGAAGGCCAAAUUCAUUAUUUUUUUCCUCUGGAGUCUCAUACUGCUGCCUACGACGUUAUUGUAGAACUCAUACAUCAUAUUAUAUCAUAGCCAU
RNAcentral lists this long non-coding RNA (3080 nucleotides) under Sus scrofa (pig). RNAcentral describes it as "lncRNA (ENSSSCG00050009889.1)". Lineage: Eukaryota; Metazoa; Chordata; Mammalia; Artiodactyla; Suidae. The record is from RNAcentral.